Molecule: transfer RNA, 71 nt
Filed under: Muribaculaceae bacterium
Lineage: Bacteria; Pseudomonadati; Bacteroidota; Bacteroidia; Bacteroidales; Muribaculaceae
Description: tRNA-Gln
Rfam family: tRNA
About the family: Transfer RNA (tRNA) molecules are approximately 80 nucleotides in length.
Source: RNAcentral
AGUCUCAUGGUGUAAUGGUAGCACUACAGUUUUUGGUACUGUCUGUCUAGGUUCGAAUCCUGGUGAGACUA